RNAcentral lists this ribosomal RNA (274 nucleotides) under uncultured bacterium. RNAcentral's name for it is "partial 16S ribosomal RNA". It matches the Rfam family "Bacterial small subunit ribosomal RNA", at positions 523 to 796 of the family's 1533-position model. The record is from RNAcentral.
AUACGGAGGGUGCAAGCGUUAAUCGGAAUUACUGGGCGUAAAGCGUACGUAGGCGGUUAUUUAAGUCAGAUGUGAAAGCCCCGGGCUUAACUUGGGAACUGCAUUUGAAACUGGGUAACUAGAGUUUAGUAGAGGGGAGUGGAAUUUCAGGUGUAGCGGUGAAAUGCGUAGAGAUCUGAAGGAACACCAGUGGCGAAGGCGACUCCCUGGACUAAAACUGACGCUGAGGUACGAAAGCGUGAGUAGCAAACAGGAUUAGAAACCCCAGUAGUCC